This 253-nucleotide ribosomal RNA is filed under the name uncultured bacterium. Its description in RNAcentral is "partial 16S ribosomal RNA". It matches the Rfam family "Bacterial small subunit ribosomal RNA", at positions 524 to 776 of the family's 1533-position model. The record is from RNAcentral.
GACGUAGGGCGCGAGCGUUGUCCGGAUUUAUUGGGCGUAAAGAGCUCGUAGGCGGCUUGUCGCGUCGAAUGUGAAAUCUCAGGGCUCAACUCUGACAUUGCAUUCGAUACGGGCAGGCUAGAGUUCGGUAGGGGAGACUGGAAUUCCUGGUGUAGCGGUGUAAUGCGCAGAUAUCAGGAGGAACACCGGUGGCGAAGGCGGGUCUCUGGGCCGAUACUGACGCUGAGGAGCGAAAGCGUGGGGAGCGAACAGG